UAGGGAAUCUUCGGUAAUGGACGAAAGUCUGACCGAGCAACGCCGCGCGAGUGAAGAAGGUUUUCGGAUCGUAAAACUCUGUUGUUAGAGAAGAACAAGGACGUUAGUAACUGAACGUCCCCUGACGGUAUCUAACCAGAAAGCCACGGCUAACUACGUGCCAGCAGCCGCGGUAAUACGUAGGUGGCAAGCGUUGUCCGGAUUUAUUGGGCGUAAAGCGAGCGCAGGCUGUUUCUUAAGUCUGAUGUGAAAGCCCCCGGCUCAACCGGGGAGGGUCAUUGGAAACUGGGAGACUUGAGUGCAGAAGAGGAGAGUGGAAUUCCAUGUGUAGCGGUGAAAUGCGUAGAUAUAUGGAGGAACGCCAGUGGCGAAGGCGGCUCUCUGGUCUGUAACUGACGCUGAGGCUCGAAAGCGUGGGGAGCGAACAGG
RNAcentral lists this ribosomal RNA (429 nucleotides) under Gemmatimonadota bacterium. RNAcentral's name for it is "Gemmatimonadetes bacterium partial 16S ribosomal RNA". It matches the Rfam family "Bacterial small subunit ribosomal RNA", at positions 355 to 776 of the family's 1533-position model. The record is from RNAcentral. Lineage: Bacteria; Pseudomonadati; Gemmatimonadota.